RNAcentral lists this ribosomal RNA (419 nucleotides) under bacterium. Its description in RNAcentral is "partial 16S ribosomal RNA". It matches the Rfam family "Bacterial small subunit ribosomal RNA", at positions 355 to 776 of the family's 1533-position model. The record is from RNAcentral.
UGGGGGAUAUUGCACAAUGGGCGAAAGCCUGAUGCAGCGACGCCGCGUGGGGGAUGAAGGCCUUCGGGUUGUAAACUUCUUUUGCUCUGAACAAGGCGCACCAUGGGGUGUGUUGAGUGUAGGGGUUGAUUAGCGCCGGCUAACUACGUGCCAGCAGCCGCGGUAAUACGUAGGGCGCGAGCGUUGUCCGGACUUAUUUGGCGUAAAGGGCUUGUAGGUGGCUGGUUGCGUCUGUCGUGAAAGCUCAUGGCUUAACUGUGGGUUUGCGGUGGGUACGGGCUGGAUUGAGUGCAGUAGGGGAGGCUGGAAUUCCUGGUGUAGCGGUGGAAUGCGCAGAUAUCAGGAGGAAUACCGGAGGCGAAGGCGGGUAUCUGGGCUGUUACUGACACUGAGGAGCGAAAGCAUGGGGAGAGAACAGG